This 253-nucleotide ribosomal RNA is filed under the name uncultured bacterium. Its description in RNAcentral is "partial 16S ribosomal RNA". It matches the Rfam family "Bacterial small subunit ribosomal RNA", at positions 524 to 776 of the family's 1533-position model. The record is from RNAcentral.
UACAGAGACUGCAAGCGUUAUUCGGAUUCACUGGGCGUAAAGGGUGCGUAGGCGGCGGGGAAAGUCAGAUGUGAAAUCCGGAGGCUCAACCUCCGAAAUGCAUCCGAUACUCCCUCGCUAGAGAUUUGUAGAGGAGUCUGGAAUUCUCGGUGUAGCAGUGAAAUGCGUAGAUAUCGAGAGGAACACCAGUGGCGAAGGCGAGUCCCUGGACAACUCCUGACACUGAGGCACGAAAGCUAGGGGAGCAAACAGG